UAACUUACCUGGGGGACAUUCCAUGAUCACGAAGGUGGUUUUUCCAGGGCAAGGCUUAUCCAUUGCACUCUAGAUGUGCUGACCUCUGCGAUUUCCCCAGUUGUGGGAAACUCAACUACAUAAUUUGUGGUAGUGGGGGACUGCCUUGCACCCUGG
This 156-nucleotide small nuclear RNA is filed under the name Castor canadensis (American beaver). Its description in RNAcentral is "U1 spliceosomal RNA (ENSCCNG00000030532.1)". It matches the Rfam family "U1 spliceosomal RNA". From Rfam's summary of the family: U1 is a small nuclear RNA (snRNA) component of the spliceosome (involved in pre-mRNA splicing). Its 5' end forms complementary base pairs with the 5' splice junction, thus defining the 5' donor site of an intron. The record is from Rfam by way of RNAcentral. Lineage: Eukaryota; Metazoa; Chordata; Mammalia; Rodentia; Castoridae.